AUCUCAAACAGCUUAAAAAAAGCAAAAGCUAAGAAGGGUUAAGGGUCCAGUGUUGUCAGUGCCAUGGCUCAGGUCACUGCUGUGGCACGGGUUCGAUCCCUGGCCCAGGAAUUUCCACAAGCCAUGAGCAUGGCCAAAAAAAAAAAUCUAAUGUUCAGCCAGAUUUGAGAACCCGCUGCCCAAGUAUUGUGUGCUGAAACAAUAAUAUAUCAAAUGCUACAUCCAGCCGAUUGCACUGAUUAUAUUAAAGUUAUUUUAGUUUAGCUCACACUUUGACGGCCUGGCUUGAGGGACAGAAUAGUAACAAGGUUAAGAGUAUAAAUUGUUAUAUCAUUCUGCCAAAGUUCAAAUACUGAUUCUAUUCCUGUGUGUUUUAUUGAGCAAAUCAUUUAAUCUCUUCAUGUUUCAGUUUAUUCAUCUGUAAAACGGUGUUAAAAGUAGUACCUGCCUCAAAGCCCUGUUGGAUGAUUGAAUAGUAUGAGACAAGUAAAGCACUAAGAACAGCACCUAACACUCAGUAAGUGCUGUCAAAAUAUUAGCCAUUACCAUUCUUAGAUGAUGCUUGAAUCAUAGGGAUUUCCUAGAGUUUGAAACAACUUGAAAAAAUGAUCUGGUCCUUAGACAGUUGGAUUUUGUUAUGAUUCCCAUUUUACAGAUUAAUAAACUCAGGUUCUUAAGAUGUGCCUGCCCAAGAUGAUUCAGGAUGAAAAUAACAACAAUUAUAAUAAUAAAAACAAUAGCAAGUAAUUAUAUUGUGUGUUUACAGCAUGCCAGACAUUGUAUUAAGUGAUGUACAUUAAAUCAUUAACCCAGUGCUUUUCGACCUUUAAUGUGCACAGGAGAGCUGGCAAAAAUGUAGAUUCUGAUUCUUUAGGUCUGGGCUGGGGCUCGUGUCUAAACAACCUCCUAGAUGAUGGUUCUCCUGGUCCAAAACUCGCCCUUUGAAUAACAUGGGUUUAACAUGCUCAGCAACUGUAGCUGAUAUGUACUAGGUUUUGCCCUUGUUUUACAUAUCAUAAACUUGGCUUGUGAUGAAAAAUAACUUUCUCAAGGUCACAGAGCUUGAAACAGUAGUGCUGGAGCUUAGAAUGAUUGUCUUAUUCCAGAGCCUGCCUCCUUAUUUCUGAGGCCUGACUUCAUUCAUGGGCAUGUAACAGGGGUAUCGCUGCUAUUUGGCAGAAUGUAGAGCAAAUGCCCCAUGUUUCCCAAAUUUUUAAGUGGGAAGAGUGAGACACUGAUGGAGUCUUUUAUAUAUUUUUAGUUGUUCAUGGCCCUUUCAGCCGGACUGACUCAUUUAUAUCUGUACUUUUCUUACACAUAAAAGAAAGUCCCAAAUUCCAACUGAUAGGACACCUAACUCUCAGGUCCUUCCUGAGCUGUAACACUUACCACCACCCUUUUUAAUCGUGCCUUUUUUUAGUUCGAACCCAUUUCACUGAGUUUAGAAUUCUUGGCUCCUUAACUUGGAUCCUCUGCUACCCUGUACUGCUUCUGACUUCGCCUGGGAGGCAGACACAGAUGCCUUGCUCAGGCUCCCUCUGAAGAAAGAGCUUGUGGCCCAGCAUCAGGGAGUAGAGUGAGUGGACUUUUCCAACUGUUGACUCCUUUAGGUCUGUUUCAGCUUUGGAGCCCAGGCCAGCUCUUCUCUGAUCCCCUGGCCUAGCCAUUUAUGCUAAUGCUGACCCAUUUAUGGGCACACUCUGCUCAGAGCUCCUCUCUGAGCUGACAGAGACUUUGUGUUGGCAUCAUUGUCUGACAGCUCCCAUGCCCAAUGCUGCUUUUUCUCUUUUCACAGUUAGAAUAGAAAACCUUUUGUACUCCUAACUUCAUCUCAGUGUCUGCUUCCCAGAGGUUCCAACCACCACCUCCCACCACUCAGCCAGGUGAGAGCUCCUACUCAACCUAACCCCCAUUACCAACCCCAGCUGGUGCCUGGCUUGGUACUCUGUAGACAUCUAUGCCCAGAUUAAUUAUAUAUACUCACUCAAUACACAGGUGCAUGUUGAGUGACCAUUGGGUACUCAUAUCUUCACAAGCAUAAUCACCUCUUGUAAAUGUCUCAGGUAAAGGAGCGAUGUGGCAAAUUUACCUACCAUGUCUCUGUUUAGCCUUUGGUUCCUAUGGCGAAUUGUUUGCUAGAGGUUAAAAAUUUAGUGCUUACAUACUACCUCUUAAGAUCAUUGGUUGCUGCCUGUGUAAUUAUAAUGUUGUGGUAUAGUGAGGAAAUACAGAUGUCCCCAAAAUAAGAGGUGACCAGCUAUGUCUAUGGUGAAUAAAACACAGUGACCAUGCGUCAGCCACAUUGAACUGGAGUUCAAAAAGUAAAUCGCAUAGUGGAUACAGAAAAAUAAAUGGAGUAAAGAUUGAGGGGUUUUUGGUUUGUUUUGCUUUGUUUCGCUCUUUAUUAAUACUGUACAGAAUCCUGGGUCUUGGUUCUAAUUUCCAACGAGGAGUUGUCAACAUGAUUUCAUUGGAUGGGCUCUCAGAGCCCCUCCCCUAAUCCCCUCAUAUCUGUGUAUUUCUAUAUUGAAGGUUUGGAGUUUUGAAGAAGGGAGCAGGUGGAGGAGAGAAAGGUAACUUUUGAGGCUGGGCCAUCUCCUGGAAGUGGAGGCCUAUAUCACUGCUGAUUAGAUGUGUGUGGCUGACAGGGGAGAAGUGAUGAAAAGAAGUUCUGGCUGUCCAGAGAAUGGAAUGAGGUUUCUCCAUCUCCGGAGAAGGCAAAAUGACUGAGAGAUGGAACGGUGUCAGGGAAGAAGUGGAAGACAAGCCCAGUUUUGAUUAAAGCACAUUUCGGGUACUGUAGCCUAAGAGAGUCUUAGAAAACCUGUGGAGUAGAAGCAAAUCGUAAAACAGAAAGAAGCAAAAGGUAAAAUAGAGAGAGCUGGGCAGCAAUAUCUGUGGGAUGGACAUAAAGGUUCGAAAAAUGUGUUAUUAGUCGAAGAAGGGAAGUGAACUACCAAGAAAUUAUGCAGUAUUGUCUCUAAAAUGGGCUUUGCUUGGUACAGAAAGGGUACAUCUAAAGUAGAAUUUCUGUCAACAAAGACUGACCUUAUAAAUUAACCAUGGAGGUUGUGAAAUUCACAUCCAUUGAAGAUAGUUCCAAUGUGGCCUUGCUUGAAGUUGAGAAAAUAAGAAAUAACCAAUUUUAAAGUCUCUUGGGCCCCUGCAGUUCUCUGAUUUAUGGAAAAAAUUUAACAUUUGUACCUUUUUCACUUCACCUACAGUCAGACAUGCAUGCAGCAAAGGUCUGAGUGUAUAGUUUUCUAAAUAACUAGCCUAGAAACCCACCAGAGCACACACAGUGAGGUGACUCUGUCACCCAUGGAGCAGCUAAAAAAUGACAUCAAUAAAUCAUAAAAUAUGCCCACGAGGGCAUUAUAAAUCAUUUAGAGUUGCUAUUAAUAUUUUAGACAUGUUCAUUUUUAGCAGUGUGUUAAAGUUUAGUGUUUGCAUUCCGUUUUAAUUCACUACUUGAUAAUUGAAAUAUGAUACUGUUAAAAAUGACUUUAAAUUAUUUUUUGCUAAUCAUUUAAGGAUUAAAUAGAGUAAGGGAACGGUUCUUGCUGGCUUCAUUUUCUCUCCAAUUCCCUUCUGGCACUUGCAGUACUGAUUCUCUUAACAGUGCCGUGGGGUGAUGACCAUCGGUCUUCCCUGGGAAGGAGGGAAUGUUCAGAGGUCCUUCCCCGUAAUUCCCCUUCCAGAGAAGGGAGAGCUAAUGCUUGAAGCCGUAAGUAUUAGCAGGCAGAUCCUUAAGAGAUCAAGCUCUCCCUUCUCAGGAAUGUGGCCGUGUGGUGGCUGGAAAGGGGGCCACUUCCUCCCAAGUUGCCCAGGACUUGCCUAGUUUUAGCCCUGCAAGUUUUGAGUUUCAGGAAAUAGGUUGGUUCAAGUUAAACUGCAUGCUUGGGUCCCCAGAUCCAAAAGACUCUUCUUUGGCAGUACAGGCCCUGGAAAAAUGGUGGAUUUCAACACAUUGGUCAAUAGUAUUUGUUUCUUUCUUUCUGUGACUCGCAGGCCAUUCCACUGUUGACUUCCUGAUUGGCUUUAUGCUCUUUACUUGGUCAGGGCAUCCUGCCAGAUUGUGCCACUGUGGGGGUCCACUUCUUUCAUAUUAUUAAAAAAUCCACAAUUAUUAAUAAAAAACACUUUACCGAGGGUCUAUUUUGUGCCCAGCCAUGUGCUAAGUAUUUUAUGUUUACAAUAUCAUAGGUCUUUACCGAAUCUUUGUGAGGAGAAUACUAUUACUCUUACUGCUGAUAAGGAAACUUAGAUUCAGAAGGUUAAGAGGUUAGGCAGAGAUCUCAGAACUGGUCAUUGGCAGCUAGCUUUGUUCUAAAGCCUAUGGGUGUUUCCUGCUUGAUCCCCUUAGGGACUUGCCUGCUAAUACUUAUGGCUUCAAUGUGCGGAUCUCUGUUAAGAGAUGCUGAGAGUUCCUGUUGUGGCUCAGGGGUAAUGAACCCAACUAGGAUCCAUGAGGAUGCAGGUUUGAUCCCUGGCUUCACUCAGUGGGUUAAGUGGGUUAAUCCGGCAUUGCUGUGAGCUGUGGUGUAGGUUGCAGAUGCCGCUCGGCUCGGAUUCUACGCAGCUCCGAGGGCAGCUGCAGCUCCAAUUUGACCCCUAGCCUGGGAACCUCCAUGUGCCACGGGUGCAG
RNAcentral lists this long non-coding RNA (4648 nucleotides) under Sus scrofa (pig). RNAcentral's name for it is "lncRNA (ENSSSCG00000052754.1)". The record is from RNAcentral. Lineage: Eukaryota; Metazoa; Chordata; Mammalia; Artiodactyla; Suidae.